CCAGACACUGACCCAAGCUGACGCUCUGAACAAAGUGCCUUUCAAAAGUAUUCACCCCCCCCCCCCCUUAAAACCUUUUGUAUUUUUGUUAAACUGCAAGCAUAAACUUUGAUGAGAUUUAUUGGGAUUUCAUGUGAAACACCAACACCAAGUAUUAAAGCGUGUGUGGUAGGCAUUUUUAUUCCUGCCUGUUUGCUCUGAUACAAAUAAAUUUGAUUUAAUCACCUAAGAGGCUUGUAUAAAAUGCAUCGUGAAGACCUAGGAACACUGUUCGGUUUGGUAAAAUUGUGAACAUACCAAGAAAUGGUCGUCCACCUAAACUGACAGGCCAGGAAAAAAAAAAGAACAUUUGUUUCAGAGAACCAGCCCAGAGGGGCAUGGUAACUCUGGAGGAGCUGGAUAGAUCCAGAGCUCAGGAGGGAGAAUCUGUCAACAAGAAAACUAUAUUUCAUGUAAUCCACAAACCUUGCUUUUAUGGUAGAGUGGCAAGAAAAAAUGUAUUGUUUCAGGAAAACCAUGAGAAGUCCAGUUAAUAGUUUGCUUCUGAUUAUUUCAUACCAAAAGGAAACUAAAUGGCCUUCAUGCAAAACUUUACGUGAGAUGAAGAGCAUCUGGCUUCACCCUUAAUGAAACGGUCCCAGCAUUAAAAAAACAACAAUGGCAGCAUCGUACUGUAGGAAUUUUUUUCUUUUUCAUCUGGGCCAAAGAAGCUGCUCAGAGUUGAUAUGUGUAUAUGGAUGGCUCUAAAUACAGUCCAGGAAGAAACCGUGUUGGAAGCAGCAGAAGACUUGAGACUGUGGCCGAGCAUCACUUUCCAGAGCUGCAAUCAAAUAGUUUGAGUCCGGACAUAAAUCCAGCUUGAGACAGGGCUUAAAACCGUAUCCUCCCAGAUGUUUUCCAUCCAAUCUGGCUGAAUUUCAACUGCUACUUUGUGUUAUUGUAUCACUUCAAGUCCCAAUAAA
Fundulus heteroclitus (mummichog) is the source of this 962-nucleotide long non-coding RNA. RefSeq lists it as uncharacterized. Lineage: Eukaryota; Metazoa; Chordata; Actinopteri; Cyprinodontiformes; Fundulidae. The transcript has 2 exons. The record is from RefSeq and is a predicted model, not a curated record.